This 500-nucleotide ribosomal RNA is filed under the name uncultured bacterium. RNAcentral's name for it is "bacterial SSU rRNA". It matches the Rfam family "Bacterial small subunit ribosomal RNA", at positions 28 to 526 of the family's 1533-position model. The record is from RNAcentral.
GAUGAACGCUGGCGGCGUGCUUAACACAUGCAAGUCGAACGAAGCAUUUAAGAACGAUUUCUUCGGAAGGAGUUCUUCUAUGACUGAGUGGCGGACGGGUGAGUAACGCGUGGGCAACCUGCCUCACACAGGGGGAUAACAGUUAGAAAUGACUGCUAAUACCGCAUAAGACCGCAGUACCGCAUGGUACAGUGGUAAAAACUCCGGUGGUGUGAGAUGGGCCCGCGUCUGAUUAGGUAGUUGGUGAGGUAAUGGCUCACCAAGCCGACGAUCAGUAGCCGACCUGAGAGGGUGACCGGCCACAUUGGGACUGAGACACGGCCCAAACUCCUACGGGAGGCAGCAGUGGGGAAUAUUGCACAAUGGGGGAAACCCUGAUGCAGCGACGCCGCGUGAAGGAUGAAGUAUUUCGGUAUGUAAACUUCUAUCAGCAGGGAAGAAAAUGACGGUACCUGACUAAGAAGCCCCGGCUAACUACGUGCCAGCCGCCGCCGUAACAC